Molecule: long non-coding RNA, 4275 nt
Filed under: Homo sapiens (human)
Lineage: Eukaryota; Metazoa; Chordata; Mammalia; Primates; Hominidae
Description: HSALNT0093638
Source: RNAcentral
UAUUUUUAGCAGAGAUGGGGUUUCAUCAUGUUGGCCAGACGAGUUUCAAACUCCUGACCUCAGGUGAUCCACCCACCUUGGCCUCCCAAUGUGCUGGGAUUACAGGCCUGAGCCACCACGCCCGUCCAAGGUCUGCUUUAAAUCCAAGGCAAAGGGCACACUGUCCUACUUUCAUUGCUUGCAUCCAACUGCACUAUAUUUAAAGUCACUGCUGCAAGGCUCUUUGCUGAAACUCAAUUCUCCCUUGUGUCUGGGGCUGCCAUUGGACACUUGCCCCACUGUUUAAAGAACUGCCUUUUUCAAAUUUAAGCAGCUCAGAAGACAAAUGAUGUCACUCUUAUCAUUUAUACACCAAAUUAUGAGGGCUCUGAGAAAAAUGAACAGAAAGCCCCGUCUUUUUCUGGGGUUCUCUCCCCUUAGCAAUCCCAGGAACCUCUAGGAAAGGUUACAUAAAUGCAGGAAUCAGUCCUACUCAUCACCACUGCUUGUCAGGGGAGUGGGAACCCAGACUUUCCCUUGAAAUCCAAGAUUAAGGAUAAAAUCCUUUAAUGGCAAAAGUGAGAAGGAGGACUCUGCUCUGGUUCCAGGUCAAGGUGACGCUAAGUAACCUUACUAUUUAACUAGUUUGUUAAUUCAUAGAGUUUGUUUUCUGAAGCCUAUGCCACAAGACCAUGAAAAUUAUGGUGACUAGGAAAUCCCUUUGUUUGGUCUGAUUAGAAAAAUAUUGAAGAUUGUACAUGAAGAACAGAUGUAUGUGAGACUCCUAGCAUGGCCCUAGUAGAGGGCCAUGACUGUUCGCUGAUGAUGUCCACCUAAGCAAGGCUUUGUUUACCUCCCCCUAGCUUACAUGGCUGACUUUACCAAAAAAGCUUCGGGUGGAAAUGGGUGUGUGUGAGACAGCAAUCCUGAUUUUAUGAUUCUCAGGUCCCAGAAGAAUAGACGAGACAAUGGACCAUAUUUCAAACUGCACAUUUUCUUUAGGCCUCACUCACCCUUUAAUAUAAAUGUUUUAAUCAAUUGGGAUACAGGCUAUUGAUGAGAACUUCGGGGAUUGGAACUCUAGCUCAGUGAAGAAGAAACAAGAUAAAUCUCUGUGCAGAUCAGUAGAACAGUCAGAGAUGAAAGGGUUUAGAAAGCAGAUGGCAGUAUGAGAAAAUUCAAUAGCUAGAGUACAAUAAAUGGAGUGCAAGAGGGUGGUGGAACGCAGAAUGCAAGCUUGACCUUCUCUACAACUUUGCCUGGGGCCCUGGUGACAGCUGUUAACUCAACUUCUCUACAUUUUUGCCAACAGAGCCACUUUGGAAAAUAGAGUACAUCUGCCAUGAUUCGGUACAAUUUCCACUAGUAAAAAUUCUGAUUUGUUUUCAUGUCUUCCUGAUUCUCGCCAAUGAAAAGAAAAAAAUAGAGACAAGCCAAUUACUCACCUAAACAUUCCCCCUUGUCAAUACGAUAUUGGCAGAAUUUCCCUAGUUGUGUAUUCCCAACUCUUACUUUGAAGCAUUUAACCAUUUAUACAACACUACAUAUUAUUAAGCCUCUACUCUGAGCCAGGAAUCAGAAAGAGCUAGAGAUUUACCCUCAAACAUCACAAUGUCCCUUGUUUAUCUGUGCUAAGCUGGUGGCCAUGAAUUUCUCUCAAUGUGGAGUUGUAGGUUCUUUAAGCCACUGCCUACUAUGUAAGCAGUAACUCUUCAUAUUGUUCCUACACUUACCUCUUUUGGACUACAGAGAUUAGAGUAUAUUAGUAUUAUAAAAAACAGAUAAAAAUUAGUCUAAGUAAGCUUAUAUUCUAGUGAAUAAAAUAAUUGACAAAGAAAAAUAAAUAUCUAAAUCAAAUAGUGAUAAGAAAUAAAGUAUAAGUUAAGUAAGGGGCUAGAGAAUGACAGUAGAGCUGGUGACUUAUUUAAACUGGUGGUUAGAAAAGGCCUUUCUGAGGAAGUAAUACUUGAAUCGAUAUCUAAAUGAAGUGAGAGAAUAAACCAGGUAGAGAUCUGGAAACAGUAUUCCAGACCAAGGAAAGAGCAAAAAUGCAAAAAGCCUGAGGUGGGAAUGAGCUCGUCAUACUUCAGGAACAGCAAGAAAUCCACUAUGGCUAAUAUGGAGUGAAUAAGGCCAAGUGAUAGAAGGUAAGAUCAGCAACAAGCAGAGGACAAAUCAUGUGGGGAUGUAGGAAUCUAAAAGACCUGUAGGGAAAUUUUUGAGUAAUUUUCUAAGGUCAGAGGUAUAAUUUGUCCCACUUCCCCUAUACUCCACAGAGUAUUUUAAAAGUAACCUAGAAGCUAAGGUCACCCUAAGUUUCUGAAGUCAAAGUCUGUCCUUAUAUCUUAUAGUCCCAGUUAUCAUCCAUUAUAAAGUAGACCACAAAGUAAGAGCAGAGCAGAAUGAGAGAAGGAUGAGUAAACCCUAAAAGGAAUGAGAUGAGUAAUAAAAUUUUGAAAAGAAAAGCUACACACUGGGAGAUUUAACUGAAAUUUUAUGCCAUGGAAAAUGUGAUAGGAUCCUAAUGGAAUUAUCUUUAUCCUGUUCCUAAAUAUGUCUUUCCAAUAAAUGUAUAGUCAAUUUUAUUUUUACAGAUGUGUAAAGAGAAGACUCUGGAAGCUCAGUCUUUCAUGAACAAUUCCCAUAUAGUGAGUCCUCAAGGAGUGGCCAGAGAAGGCCCUCAGUUUGAAGGGAUACCAAGUUGUUCGCCUUGCAUGGAGCCUCAUAUUUCUGGGUCCAGCCCUAUUGUCAUCUCACUUUCUCAAAUGUACCAAGAUCCAGGAAGCUCUUGCCCUAAAUGGAAAUGAAGAUUCGAUCCCAGCUGAUCCUAAGUUCAUAUCUGAGAAAGAACCAACAGUGCUGGCCAACAGCCCAUGAAUACCAGCCAGUAUGAUCGAGGAUACAGAAGACCAGACCAGUGGAGCUAGACAAAACCAAGCAUUCCAGUCCAGGGGCCUUUUGCUCUGGCCGCCUUCUGACCAUUGCCUGCCUGCCUGCCUGGAGAUUGAUAGGGUAACCAGGCAGCCCAUUAGACCUGCUUAUCUCAGCACCCCGUGGCUGGCUGGCUGGGAACUGGCCCGCCAGUGUCUACUUCAUCACAAGCUCAGCCUCUGGCUGUCAGCACCUGGAGCUGGGCCAGUGGGGCCCGGGUGGGGCAGCUGGUACCAGACACCCAGGCCUGCUCUGUGUCCUCCCCCUACUAAUAAAUGACUUUCCUGGCGCUGCCACCACAUGGAUCAGUGGCAGCACAGACUCCCUGUCGGCAAGACAGCCAUUUUUCUAUGCCUGAUUGCAGCAUGAAAAACAGAAGUUCCCUUGGAUUGUAGUUUUGUGUAAAUGCUUUCUCACACAUUUUCUCCAUCAUUAACUAGUCAUAAAUCAAUCCAGUAAGCAACUAUUUUACCACCCUGUGCAGUUUUCCUCAAGCCCUUCCAGAAUUGGGCUAUGCUGGAGGAGUCACAAAGGGAAUUCAACAAGAGCCUGCAUGCCUCUCUCAGCACGCCUUCCCCUCCACUCUCAGCUGAAGAUGUAGCUUUGCACAGGCCCCCACCCUGAGUGGAUGUUGAGUGCUCCUUCCAUGUGACUCCACAAAUCUCUGCCCUUCCCCAACAGAGAAUGCUCUGUACUGUAUCUAUUUGUUCACCUGUUUGUUUCUGCAGCAAGGUUGUGAAUUUGAGGGUCUCUCUUGUCCACAGUUGCACGCUCAACAUGUAGCAGUAGACCCGGUACUGAUGGGUUGGUCAGAUUAGAUUAGUUAAAUGAAUAAGUGGGUGUGAUAUCUGUACAGAAAUCCUUUAUAGCAGCUACCUUUUGACAUUCUCACUUGUAGGUGUCUGGCUCCUCUCCAAAACAAAGAGCUGGUUGUCGUCAGGGGUUAUGUUUUGGUUCCUUUGUAUUCCCAAUGCCUAGAACAUUAAUAGGUCAGGCACGAUGGCUCAUACCUGUAAUCCCAUCACCUUGGGAGGCUGAGGUGGGAGGAUCCCUUGAAACCAGGAGUUUAGGACCAAUGCCCAGUACAUUAAUAGGAUAUGAAGUGGCUGAAUAAGUGAAAAGAAUAAAUUGAAGUGAUUAAUGGAUCUAGGUUUGAGACUGUCUUUAUAUUUUACUCCAAUGUCAACACAGGGCACCAGAGGGUAUACAACUGUAUGUGUUUUAUCAAAACUCACAAAACUGUCCACUAAACAGGGUGAACUUUUGCUGUAUAUAAAAUAGCUUAAUUUUUUAAUGUGAAAGAGUAUUUAAAAAUUACCAGAAGGCCGGGCGUGGUGGCUUACACCUGUGAUCCCCGUACUUUGG